GAAAAAUGCUUAGUUUUUCGGGCUCAUAACCCGAAGGUCGUAGGUUCAAAUCCUGC
RNAcentral lists this transfer RNA (56 nucleotides) under Methylomagnum ishizawai. It matches the Rfam family "tRNA", at positions 10 to 63 of the family's 71-position model. From Rfam's summary of the family: Transfer RNA (tRNA) molecules are approximately 80 nucleotides in length. The record is from Rfam by way of RNAcentral. Lineage: Bacteria; Pseudomonadati; Pseudomonadota; Gammaproteobacteria; Methylococcales; Methylococcaceae.